CAUGCACCAGUGUGGUCCCUCGGCCUAGCCUGUGCCCUCUCGCAAUUCGGGACCCCUUGGAGGAUGUCAGAGAGCCAAUUUCAGCCUAAUCCCACAGGCUAGGCUGAGGGACUCCACUGGUGCACG
Molecule: microRNA precursor, 126 nt
Filed under: Myotis brandtii (Brandt's bat)
Lineage: Eukaryota; Metazoa; Chordata; Mammalia; Chiroptera; Vespertilionidae
Description: mir-9193 microRNA precursor family
Rfam family: mir-9193 microRNA precursor family
Source: Rfam by way of RNAcentral